AUUGAACGCUGGCGGCAUGCUUUACACAUGCAAGUCGAACGGCAACGAGGAGAAGCUUGCUUCUCUGUCGGCGAGUGGCGAACGGGUGAGUAUAGCAUCGGAACGUGCCAAGUCGUGGGGGAUAACCAAACGAAAGUUUGGCUAAUACCGCGUAAGCUCCAAGGAGGAAAGUAGGGGACCUAAAUAAGGCCUUACGCUAUUUGAUCGGCCGAUGUCGGAUUAGCUAGUUGGUGGGGUAAUGGCUCACCAAGGCAAUGAUCCGUAGCGGGUCUGAGAGGACGAUCCGCCACACUGGGACUGAGACACGGCCCAGACUCCUACGGGAGGCAGCAGUGGGGAAUUUUGGACAAUGGGGGAAACCCUGAUCCAGCCAUGCCGCGUGUAUGAAGAAGGCCUUAGGGUUGUAAAGUACUUUUGUUAGGGAAGAAAAGCUAGUUUUUAAUAAAAAUUAGUGAUGACGGUACCUAAAGAAUAAGCACCGGCUAACUACGUG
This 493-nucleotide ribosomal RNA is filed under the name uncultured bacterium. Its description in RNAcentral is "partial 16S ribosomal RNA". It matches the Rfam family "Bacterial small subunit ribosomal RNA", at positions 30 to 507 of the family's 1533-position model. The record is from RNAcentral.